Molecule: transfer RNA, 74 nt
Filed under: Armillaria ostoyae
Lineage: Eukaryota; Fungi; Basidiomycota; Agaricomycetes; Agaricales; Physalacriaceae
Rfam family: tRNA
About the family: Transfer RNA (tRNA) molecules are approximately 80 nucleotides in length. Their secondary structure includes four short double-helical elements and three loops (D, anti-codon, and T loops). Further hydrogen bonds mediate the characteristic L-shaped molecular structure. tRNAs have two regions of fundamental functional importance: the anti-codon, which is responsible for specific mRNA codon recognition, and the 3' end, to which the tRNAs corresponding amino acid is attached (by aminoacyl-tRNA synthetases). tRNAs cope with the degeneracy of the genetic code in two manners: having more than one tRNA (with a specific anti-codon) for a particular amino acid; and 'wobble' base-pairing, i.e. permitting non-standard base-pairing at the 3rd anti-codon position.
Source: RNAcentral
GCCUGCCUAGCUCAAUCGGAUAGAGCGUCAGACUCUUAAUCUGAAGGCUGUGAGUUCGACCCCCGCGGUGGGCU